RNAcentral lists this long non-coding RNA (2986 nucleotides) under Marmota monax (woodchuck). Lineage: Eukaryota; Metazoa; Chordata; Mammalia; Rodentia; Sciuridae. The record is from RNAcentral.
UGCUGCAGCUGGCUUUGAACUUUUUUUUUUUUUUUUCAUUUUGGUACCAGGGAUUGAACCCAGGGAUGCUUAACCACUGAGCCACAUCCCCUGUCCUAUUUUGAAUUUAUUUAGAGACAGGGUCUCACUGAGUUACUUAGUGCCUCGCUUUUGCUGAGGCUGGCUUUGAACUCAUAAUACUCCUGCCUCAGACUCCGAGCCGCUGAAAUUACAGAUGUGAGUCACUGUACCUGUCAACAAUCCCUCUCUUUUUUUAAGGACCUCCAGAGGAAAGCCUGAGCUUUGUAGAAUUUGAAACAUAUUUUUACUAUAUCCAAUAAUUUAUUGGAUCCCACUUCAUUGUAAAAGGCUAAGGUUACAAUCUUAGAGAUCAAGGAAGUUAUUUACUCAGUACUCAUAGUUUAAUGAAUGAAUGACAGUUCCAAUUAAGAUAUUUUAAUUGCUCAAGGCUCCUAAAUAUGAGAUAGAGCAUAUGAUAUUGAAUCAUGUUGACUACCUUGAUAACAUAGAAAGUAUCAAGAGUCAAAUAGAACAAAAAGACAAAAUAUUCUUCUUUUCCAACAUAUCAUGUAAAAUAAUUUUGUAUAUUUUUUAAAAAUAUUUUUUUUUUGUUGUAAAUGGAUCUUUUUUAUUAUUUAUUUAUAUGUGGUGCUGAGGAUUGAACCCAGGGCCUCACACAUGCCAAGCAAAUGCUCUACCACUGAGCCACAACUCCAGCCCUCAUUUUGUAUAUUAAAGAUGCAAACACCCAAGACUCCAGGAGCAGAAUGAGGAUGUUAGUGAACGUCCAGUGUACUUUCUACUUGUGAGAGCUCCUUGUAUGAAGGAGUGUGGAGGAGGAAAAAGAGCCUGUAAAAGAGGCCAAGUCAUAAAUUGUGCAACAAUCUGAGUAGAAUGAUGAAAUGUCACACUGUCCCACUCUGUCCCACCUGGGAGGUAAAUCAUCUCUGUCUAGCGUAUCCACACUGUAUAUGCUACCUGCCCAUUAGGCACUUAGUAGCCAUCUGAGUUUUCAGAACAGUAGUAUAGUAUUGUGGUGCUGGGUUCAAACCAUUAAGUAGUAGCCUUAUGGUAUACCACAAUGCCAGUGUCAUUCACCUCACUUCAUCUCGUCAUGUAUGUAUUUUAUCCUGUCACAUCAGCACAAGAAGGGUGAGUACAGUACAAUACAAUUUUGAGAGGGAGAUAAGAAAGAGGAAACCACAUUCCAAUAGCCUUCAUUCCAAUAUGUUAUUAUAUUAGCUUAUUAUUCUAUCUUUAUUAUUGCUGUUAAUCUCUUUUUUAUUAAUUUCUUUUAGAUAUUGGUAGACUUUUAUUUAUUUAUAUGUGGUGCUGGGAAUCGAACCCAGUGCCUCACACAUGCCAGGCAAGUGUUCUACCACUGAGCCCCAGCCCCAGCCCUGUUGUUAAUCUCUUACUGUGCCUAACUUAUAAAUUAAAAUUUAUCAUGGGUAUGUACUUAUCAGGAAAACAGUAUGUACGGCACAUGGCACUGUCUGUGGUUUCAGGAUCCAUAUGGAUCUUGGAAUGGAUGUCUCCCAGAUAAGGGGGACUACUGUACAGAAGUACUGUGAGGUUUCCUCAAAGUCAGGAUGUCCAUUUAGAGCUGAAACUUGUAAGGUGUCUUCUAUUUCAGGGAAUCGAACAGUUUCCUAAGGACCACUUUCAAUUUUCCCAAAGUUUAUAAAAGACUCCAAAGCAUGGGGGCUGUUUAGGAAACAGAGCCAACUGUGUGUGGGGGGGUCCCACCCACGUUUGCCUUCCCCUGCUUCUUUGGAGUUCCUGUGAGCCUUGGGGUAGAGGCUUGGCAAAGCUGCAAGAUGACAGGGAAGGUGGCCGUGGACCCUGCUCUCCUCUUGACACUGAAAGUGCAUUUGUUAUUCCAAACAGCCAACUCAAAAUUGCCUUUGUUUCACAUUUUCAAAGGGGGAAAAAUCAAUCUACAGCUUAGAAUAAAGUCUUAUGUAAACCAGAAACAUCCGGGAGGAUGAAAGAAGUUCAGGUGUCAGGAGUGAAAAUUAUGAUUGGUUUCUGUGCAUCUCAUUAGGGAAGAAAAGGUACAAAUGUACUUAAGUGGACCAGAGGGGGUCAAGGCUGAUCCUAAGGCUGAGCCAUCUGAGCUAGAGACAAGCUCUAAGAGAAAAUCUAUACUGGCCAGAGACCAAGUUAAUGGAAAAUUUAAUUGAGGCGAAUGAAAUGCUCAGCCUCUUGGUUGUGUGGCUGGGUGCCCUUUGAACCAGGAAGGCUGGGCCAAGAGGCCACAGAGGGCCCUAAGGGGGAAAAAAAAAAGAGGCGCUUAUCUGCACAAACAAGGGGCGGGACUGAGCCCGGGAAAAGAAAAUCAGAGCCUCCAACAGAGCCUCAGCCAGAGGCUGCACCAGGAAGGAGGAAAUCUGGCUUCUGCCACCAAGAAGUCCCCUCGAGGUCCAUAGCAGAAGGCCCCGCAGCUCCAAGCGGGUGCUGGGAACCAGCAGUCGCCAGAGGAGUGUGGCUGAGGCUGCCUGGUGGCAGGGACAGGAGUGCCCAGGUAGGAAUGGAGGCACCUGCUUGUGGGCUGAGUGGAAGAGGUGUGGCUCCAGGACACCUGCUUCCUCCUGCCCUUGCCUCUGUUUGCUUCUCUCCUUGCAGGUCCCCUGUCCUGUGCCCAGGAACCUCCGGGGCUGUGCUCUCUAGGUGGUGGCACCUGGCUAGCAUCUGGUGAUAGUUACUCACAGCUCUUGGAAUCUGCCAACCGUUUUGCUGCCUUUUCUAAGGUGGGCUUCAGGGCUGGGGGUCUGUGCUGUCACUGCCACCACCCCUGGUUCACACGAGGAGCCCUCUGGAAACAGACCAGAGAGUCUGGGCGGGCCGUGGGCUGGCUGGGUUGAGCAGCCCUGCUAAGGGUCAGGCCAUCGAUCCUGGGAAGGGCAGGGCUCCUGGCCUGGGGGAAGUGGCAGUGAUGGCCACAGGAGGAGGGGUUGCUCUGCGCAGCUUCCCCCUCGACUGG